UACGAAGGGGGCUAGCGUUGCUCGGAAUCACUGGGCGUAAAGGGUGCGUAGGCGGUCGCGCAAGUCGGAUGUGAAAUCUCAGGGCUCAACCCUGAAACUGCAUUCGAUACUGCGUGGCUAGAGUGCUGGAGAGGAGACUGGAAUUUACGGUGUAGCAGUGAAAUGCGUAGAUAUCGUAAGGAAGACCAGUGGCGAAGGCGGGUCUCUGGACAGUUCCUGACGCUGAGGCACGAAGGUCAGGGGAGCAAACGGG
This 253-nucleotide ribosomal RNA is filed under the name uncultured bacterium. RNAcentral's name for it is "partial 16S ribosomal RNA". It matches the Rfam family "Bacterial small subunit ribosomal RNA", at positions 524 to 776 of the family's 1533-position model. The record is from RNAcentral.